This 240-nucleotide long non-coding RNA is filed under the name Eucalyptus grandis. Its description in RNAcentral is "long non-coding RNA (EGRA_LNC004245)". The record is from RNAcentral. Lineage: Eukaryota; Viridiplantae; Streptophyta; Magnoliopsida; Myrtales; Myrtaceae.
AGAGAGAGAGAGAGAGAGAGAGAGGUGUCUAUGUUCUCAAGAUAUCUGGCGGUGGUAGCGUUCCAGCGGUGAAGGAGGAGACGCUCGAGGUUCUGGGAAGAGAUUGGCUCAAAAGUUUUUGGGGAUUCUCUACAAGCUCUCCUCAGACAGAGAGGUGAGGGGGUCUUCAACGAGAGACAGAAAGGGAGAGAGACAGCGUGAAGAGAAGGCCGUUGGCCAUAGAGAGGAAGGCGGGAAACA